UGGAGCCUGCGGUUUAAUUGGACUCAACGCCGGAAAACUCACCGGGGCGACAGCAAUAUGUAGGUCAAGCUAAAGACUUUACCAGAAUCGCUGAGAGGAGGUGCACGGCCGUCGUCAGUUCGUACUGUGAAGCAUCCUGUUAAGUCAGGCAACGAGCGAGACCCGUGCCCACUGUUGCCAGCAUGUCCUUCGGGACGAUGGGUACUCUGUGGGACCGCCGAUGCUAAAUCGGAGGAAGGUGCGGGCUACGGUAGGUCAGUAUGCCCCGAAUCUCCCGGGCUACACGCGGGCUACAAUGACUGGGACAAUGGGCUCCUACCCCGAAAGGGGAUGGUAAUCUCAUAAACCCAGCCUUAGUUCGGAUCGAGGGCUGUAACCCGCCCUCGUGAAGCUGGAAUCCGUAGUAAUCGCGUUUCAACAUAGCGCGGUGAAUACGUCCCUGCUCCUU
Molecule: ribosomal RNA, 448 nt
Filed under: uncultured Methanomethylovorans sp.
Lineage: Archaea; Methanobacteriati; Methanobacteriota; Methanomicrobia; Methanosarcinales; Methanosarcinaceae
Description: bacterial SSU rRNA
Rfam family: Archaeal small subunit ribosomal RNA
Source: RNAcentral